AAUAUACUUGGGUCUCCACCCUUUUCUGUGAUAUAAAUUUAUGGAAAAAGCUGCAAUACUUGCCUUACAGACCACCUCGUGUUCUGAUUUGGCUGCAUAUUUCUUCAGGGGCUUCCUCUCCCCUUGGAAGCAGGACAGCUUCUCUAUGGUAUUCGUGCCUUUUCCCCAUGCUUCCAGAGGUCUGUCCCGCCCUAGGAACUGGGUUUCACCAAAGCAUGGAUUACAAGAGCAGAAGACUAGAAAUGACCUCCAUGUCCAUCAAAAGGGGACCUGUUGAUUACGUAAGGAACACUAAGCAGCCUUUAAAAAGACUUCCGUAGAGUUAUAGGUGCUAAGAAGAUACGUCCUCCAAAAUAUACCGUGCGGUGAGGAAAGCAGAUUUAAAACUGCAUAGAAAGUAGGUCACCAAUGUUUAUUUAUAUGCGUGGAAUAUUAUUAUAAGAACACAUAAGAAACUAGGAAAUUGGAGGACUAAGGCACUAGUGUAAAAGAUUUGCUUUUUAUCAUGGGCUCUUUAUGCCUUUUGAAUGUGGAGCUAUGUGUAGAGAUUUUUCAAAAAAUUAAUGAAUUGCUUGGAAACCGGGAUGGGCUGAGAGGUUGUCAGUGACGCUGCAGAGCUGAGCUAGAAGUUUUCAGUUCUCAUCUGUGUUUAUCAAGCCCAGGAGAUGACAGACAGCAGUGGGGUUUUCAUACAAAACACUUUCAGCUUGCAUUUGCCCACUUUGAAGAGGGAAACCAAACAGACUUUUGGAACAGUUUUCAAGUAUCAAACGUGUUCUGUGUUUCAAGGGGUUUUAACUCACAAAUAGUCCUUUCUCUGCACUGACAUUCCCCACUCUGAGAAACUAAAACAAGUAGCUAGUAUCCAAAAAAAAGUAUAAAUUAUGAUUACUUCUGAUCAAACAUGUAAUGUCAAGUCUGCAAGAAAGAAAAAGAAACUUCCAAAACAGUGUUAGUGUUUCCAAAAAACAUGCCAUGUACUUAUACAUCGCAGGGCACCAGCUAAGGAAAUCUAUUAAUAGAACCAAGAAAACAAUAAUAGGGGGCCCCCAGGCCUGGGUCAUUUUUAAAGAUAUGAGAAUGAGCUCUUGGCUUUAUAAUUUUAGAGCUGUUAAAGCACCUGCCAGUGGGAAUUCUUGGAGAAGGCAAUGGCACCCCACUCCAGUGUUCUUGCCUGGAGAAUCCCAGGGAUGCGGGAGACUGGUGGGCUACCGUCUAUGGGGUCACACAGAGUUGGACACGACUGAAGUGACUUAGCAGCAGCAGCAGCGGGAAUUCUUAUUUGUGGGGAUUUUUUUUCCCAUUACACUGUGUGUGGAAAGACAUUUUCAAAGUAUAAAAACCAUUCAAAAAAAAAAAAAUCCCGAGUCCCAGCUAUGAAGCUUAAUAAAAUGGUCCAGAAAAACUUUACAAAUCUGAAAAUAGUUGAAAAUAGUCACUGUGUGCUUUUAUUAACCCUCAAGCACCCAUGCUGUGGGGAAGCUGACUGUAAAAGUAAUCAUCAUAAAAAGCAUUGUCAAUAAGCACAAGUCAUGUAAAGCAGAAAAAAACAACUGCUAUUGUAAAAUAGCACAGAUUUAACUUACCAGGGCCUGGAA
Bos taurus (domestic cattle) is the source of this 1598-nucleotide long non-coding RNA. The record is from Ensembl. NCBI's taxonomy places the organism in Eukaryota, Metazoa, Chordata, Mammalia, Artiodactyla, Bovidae.